Molecule: unclassified non-coding RNA, 205 nt
Filed under: soil metagenome
Description: partial contains 5.8S ribosomal RNA, internal transcribed spacer 2, and large subunit ribosomal RNA
Source: RNAcentral
AACACUGUUAACCUGCGGUACCUGCGGAAGGAUCAUUACCGAGUUUACAACUCCCAAACCCCUGUGAACAUACCUAUACGUUGCCUCGGCGGAUCAGCCCGCGCCCCGUAAAACGGGACGGCCCGCCCGAGGACCCUAAACUCUGUUUUUAGUGGAACUUCUGAGUAAAACAAACAAAUAAAUCAAAACUUUUAACAAUGGAUCU